GUGAGGAAUAUUGGUCAAUGGGCGAGAGCCUGAACCAGCCAAGUCGCGUGAAGGAAGAAGGAUCUAUGGUUCGUAAACUUCUUUUGCAGGGGAAUAAAGUGCGGGACGUGUCCUGUUUUGUAUGUACCCUGAGAAUAAGGAUCGGCUAACUCCGUGCCAGCAGCCGCGGUAAUACGGAGGAUCCGAGCGUUAUCCGGAUUUAUUGGGUUUAAAGGGUGCGUAGGUGGUUUGAUAAGUCAGCGGUGAAAGUUUGCAGCUUAACUGUAAAAAUGCCGUUGAAACUGUCGGACUUGAGUGUGAAUGAGGUAGGCGGAAUGCGUGGUGUAGCGGUGAAAUGCAUAGAUAUCACGCAGAACUCCGAUUGCGAAGGCAGCUUACUAAGCUACAACUGACACUGAAGCACGAAAGCGUGGGGAUCAAACAGGAUUAGAAACCCGUGUAGUCC
Molecule: ribosomal RNA, 445 nt
Filed under: uncultured bacterium
Lineage: Bacteria
Description: partial 16S ribosomal RNA
Rfam family: Bacterial small subunit ribosomal RNA
Source: RNAcentral